This is a long non-coding RNA of Betta splendens (Siamese fighting fish), 1591 nucleotides long. RefSeq lists it as uncharacterized. The record is from RefSeq and is a predicted model, not a curated record. NCBI's taxonomy places the organism in Eukaryota, Metazoa, Chordata, Actinopteri, Anabantiformes, Osphronemidae. The transcript is spliced from 4 exons.
UCGCGAGAUACUGUACUUUCGCGUUAAACGGCCGUGUGCGCACGAGAAAUUAUACGGUGCUCGACUCAAGAAAUAUUGAGAUGAAAUGGAUGCACCGGCGGUUGAGCUAAACAUUUUCGAAAUAUACCUGGAAAUAUCAUCAAGCAGCUAAAGGUGACAAGAUCGACAUCAGUGUCAUAAAUUGUAUGACUGAUGAGGAGUUAGGCCAGUGUUUACUUAGAUAUAGGGAGCGACUUGCAUUCAGAGCAUUUUGCCGUCAAAGGACAUUGACAAAUGAACCAUCUGAAGGAGCCCGAGCUGCAAGUUGCGAGGACAACGGAACUUUCAAGAUAAGUGAAUGGAGCAGGCAUUCAACUCCCGACCCACACACACCUUGUGAAGAUGUUUAUAAUCACACUUACCAGUCCACAAGCAGCAUUAAACACCAACUGAUGGGCCUAUGAUUUCCCACAUUGAUGUCCCAGGAUUACCAGACCAUCCUGAAAAUUCAUCAGACCCUCAUCUGAAAAAUGUGUCAGAAAAAGAAGUCCAGCAUGUGACAGUAAGGAGAGUCACCAUAGUUCAAGAUAAUUAAGAUCUUCAUGGAACCGAAAGUAUUGGAAGUGCAUCUCACUAGGUGCUCUCUAAAAACUGCUAUUUUAACAAUGGCACAUAAAGCUCUACUUCAAGAGCCAAAAUUCAUAAUUGAUUAUUUCGCACAACUAUUCACAAUGACAUGCAGACAGUAUAACUGAACUUUGAGUCCAAGAGGGCAUCUAACUAGAAAGUGGCAUAUAUCAUAAAAGCGUCAAACGAAAUCCUAAUCCCACAGGAGCAAACCGCCCUCAACUACCUGUUACAGUUUUUGCACUUCUGCACAGGGUCCACAUAGAUGUGCAAAGACAAAAUUGAAAUAACAUUCAAUAGGUUGUGUGGUUUAAGCCGCAGGCCUGUUGCACACAUGUGGAGCAGUUCUUAAGUUACCAUGUAUCUACAGUUCAUACCCUGAGUUUUGUGCUGAGCUUGACAAUGUCAUCUCUGGUGAUUGCUGUGCUAUGGAUAUUGUGUAGCUAAUGUAAGGAAUUUAGACUGACCGUGUCAACACAGCGGAGGAAAAACUGAAAAGGUUCAUUUUAAGCACAUUUUCUCAUUUGUGUUGUCUCCUGUAAUUUGUCUUAGACAGGAAGCUUUUUUUCAGCUCCUCAUUUAGCAGCCAUCAAGAUCUGUAAACGGUGCGUGUGCGCGUGUUCGUGUAUCACAUCUAAAUCCAAACAAAUUAAUAAGGAGACAGAGUCUGUUCUUGUUUAGUAAAUGCAGUGCAAAACAGUCCACUGUAAAUAUUUAGCCAUGCAAAACCUUUCUCUGUUCCCUAACAGACCCAUUGGGUCUGUUUGUCUUUUUUGCUUUUAUCCAAUUUUCAAAGAAAAUAUGUGUUUUUCACAUUUGUGACUAUCACGGGAGUACCAUAUGCAAGUAUACGCAAUACAACUGCAGAGUAUCACUGUUGGAUCAAAAGAUGUUUAGCAUACUCGUACUAUUGGCGAUUGUUUGAGCUGCCAAUAACUGUUUAGAGACAGAAUGUGCUUCAAUAAAAGGUAUGUUGUACUUUUCA